Molecule: ribosomal RNA, 425 nt
Filed under: uncultured rumen bacterium
Lineage: Bacteria
Description: bacterial SSU rRNA
Rfam family: Bacterial small subunit ribosomal RNA
Source: RNAcentral
GUGGGGAAUAUUGGUCAAUGGGCGCGAGCCUGAACCAGCCAAGUAGCGUGCAGGAUGACGGCCCUAUGGGUUGUAAACUGCUUUUAUGCGGGGAUAAAGUGAGGGACGUGUCCCUUUUUGUAGGUACCGCAUGAAUAAGGACCGGCUAAUUCCGUGCCAGCAGCCGCGGUAAUACGGAAGGUCCGGGCGUUAUCCGGAUUUAUUGGGUUUAAAGGGAGCGCAGGCUGAAGGUUAAGCGUGACGUGAAAUGUAGCCGCUCAACGGCUGAACUGCGUCGCGAACUGGCUUUCUUGAGUGAGUACGACGUCAGCGGAAUUCGUGGUGUAGCGGUGAAAUGCUUAGAUAUCACGAAGAACCCCGAUUGCGAAGGCAGCUGACGAGUCCUUUACUGACGCUAAAGCUCGAAGGUGCGGGUAUCGAACAGG